This 520-nucleotide ribosomal RNA is filed under the name uncultured Glomus. Its description in RNAcentral is "SSU rRNA". It matches the Rfam family "Eukaryotic small subunit ribosomal RNA", at positions 569 to 1091 of the family's 1831-position model. The record is from RNAcentral. Lineage: Eukaryota; Fungi; Glomeromycota; Glomeromycetes; Glomerales; Glomeraceae.
AGCAGCCGCGGUAAUUCCAGCUCCAAUAGCGUAUAUUAAAGUUGUUGCAGUUAAAAAGCUCGUAGUUGAAUUUCGGGAUCAAAUUGUCGGUCGUGCCUCGGUACGCACUGGUAUUAUUGGUUCCUACCUUCUGAAGAACCGCGAUGUCAUUAAUUUGGUGUCGUGGGGAAUCAGGGCUGUUACUUUGAAAAAAUUAGAGUGUUUAAAGCAGGCUUACGCUUGAAUACAUUAGCAUGGAAUAAUGAAAUAGGACGUUUGAUUCUAUUUUGUUGGUUUCUAGGAUUGACGUAAUGAUUAAUAGGGAUAGUUGGGGGCAUUAGUAUUCAAUUGUCAGAGGUGAAAUUCUUGGAUUUAUUGAAGACUAACUACUGCGAAAGCAUUUGCCAAGGAUGUUUUCAUUAAUCAAGAACGAAAGUUAGGGGAUCGAAGACGAUCAGAUACCGUCGUAGUCUUAACCAUAAACUAUGCCGACUAGGGAUCGGAUGAUGUUAAUUUUUUAAUGACUCAUUCGGCACCUUAC